UUUCUACUAUAAUAUCUCCCAUGCUAUAUUGGGGGUAUACUUACACUAAAA
This 51-nucleotide microRNA precursor is filed under the name Marmota monax (woodchuck). Lineage: Eukaryota; Metazoa; Chordata; Mammalia; Rodentia; Sciuridae. The record is from RNAcentral.